UUCCGGUUGAUCCUGGCGGACCCCACUGCUAUCGGGAUAGGACUAAGACAUGCUAGUCGAGCGCUUCCUAGCCAAUUUGGGAGCGCGGCACACAGCUCAGUAACACGUGGCUAACCUGCCCUUGGGACCAGAAUACCCCCGGGAAACUGGGGCCAAUUCUCGAUAGGUGAAGAACUCUGGAAUGAGUCUUCGCUUAAAAGAGGCUGGGGUUAUGCUCUCCAGUUUCGCCCAAGGAUGGGGCCGCGACCGAUCAGGUUGUUGGUGAGGUAAUGGCUCACCAAGCCUUUUACCGGUGCGGGCCGUGAGAGCGGGAGCCCGGAGAUGGGCACUGAGACAAGGGCCCAGGCCCUACGGGGCGCAGCAGUCGCGAAAACUUUGCAAUAAGCGAAAGCUUGACAGGGCUAUCCCGAGUGCCAUCCGCUGAGGAAGGCUUUUACCCAGUCUAGAACGCUGGGGGAAUAAGGAGAGGGCAAGUCUGGUGUCAGCCGCCGCGGUAAUACCAGCUCUCCGAGUGGUGUGGAUGUUUAUUGGGCCUAAAGCAUCCGUAGCUGGCUAGGUUAGUCCCCUGUUAAAUCCACCGAAUUAAUCGUUGGAUUGCGGGGGAUACUGCUUGGCUAGGGGACGAGAGAGGCAGACGGUAUUUCCGGGGUAGGGGUGAAAUCCUAUAAUCCCGGGAAGACCACCAGUGGCGAAGGCUGUCUGCUAGAACGCGCCCGACGGUGAGGGAUGAAAGCUGGGGGAGCGAACCGGAUUAGAUACCCGGGUAGUCCCAGCUGUAAACGAUGCAGACUAG
RNAcentral lists this ribosomal RNA (793 nucleotides) under uncultured archaeon. Its description in RNAcentral is "bacterial SSU rRNA". It matches the Rfam family "Archaeal small subunit ribosomal RNA", at positions 1 to 770 of the family's 1478-position model. The record is from RNAcentral.